Molecule: ribosomal RNA, 253 nt
Filed under: uncultured bacterium
Lineage: Bacteria
Description: partial 16S ribosomal RNA
Rfam family: Bacterial small subunit ribosomal RNA
Source: RNAcentral
UACAGAGGGUGCGAGCGUUAAUCGGUAUUACUGGGCGUAAAGCGCGCGUAGGCGGCUUUGCAAGCCGGAUGUGAAAUCCCCGGGCUUAACCUGGGAACUGCAUUCGGGACUGCAUUGCUAGAGUAUGGGAGAGGGAAGUGGAAUUUCAGGUGUAGCGGUGAAAUGCGUAGAUGUCUGAAGGAACAUCAGUGGCGAAAGCGACUUCCUGGACCAAUACUGACGCUCAUGUGCGAAAGCGUGGGGAGCAAACAGG